CGGCACGUCUGGUAGCAUCUCUGGUUGCUGUUGAUCUUGUUUUUGGAGUAAAACACGGUGGAAGCUGAAUUAGUGAGGAUGACUCCUGCUCCUGUCAUCUCUAAGCUCCUCACACAUCUUUACCUGCACAUGAGGAAAAUCACUCCUGUAGAAUGCAGAUGUUCAGAGGGAGAUGAUGCCACAUCUGGUCCAGCUGAUGGAAGGUCUUGAAGUUCUCUGACUGGCCUCGACUGAAGAUGGUCGUCUCACUGGAUUUAAGAUGCACAAUGAGGGACGUCUGCAGUGACUGAGAAAGAGUCUCACCACAUCCUGACAUGAGGAAAAAGACUUUAUUGAAGACUACAAUGAGAAAAACUAUCAGACAGCAGACGGCUGCAUUCAAGUCUGUAGCUGCUGAAUUCAUGGAUGAAUCAUCUGGCACUAGAGAGGAAGACCAUCAAACAUCCACAUCAGCUGAUGGAGGUCCAAGAGUCUCACCAAACAAACAACCUACAGAGUGAAGACCUCGAAUCUGAUUGGACGGCCUUCUAUUCAGACACGUGUGAACAAAUGCCUCUAAGUUGAUUUGUUUUCUAAAAUAAAUCUAGUUUGAG
Amphiprion ocellaris (clown anemonefish) is the source of this 593-nucleotide long non-coding RNA. The record is from Ensembl. Lineage: Eukaryota; Metazoa; Chordata; Actinopteri; Pomacentridae.